RNAcentral lists this non-coding RNA (27 nucleotides) under Mus musculus (house mouse). The record is from RNAcentral. Lineage: Eukaryota; Metazoa; Chordata; Mammalia; Rodentia; Muridae.
UUGGACAGAUGCUGGGCCUUGGAAGAC